Long non-coding RNA from Ostrea edulis (European flat oyster), 869 nucleotides. RefSeq lists it as uncharacterized. Lineage: Eukaryota; Metazoa; Mollusca; Bivalvia; Ostreida; Ostreidae. The record is from RefSeq and is a predicted model, not a curated record. The transcript is spliced from 3 exons.
AGAGACCGAUAGCAACCACGUGAUCAGUAAAAAUCGUGUAUUUUCACGUGAAAUUAUUUUUCGGAAUUCCGUACAUCGCCAUAGAGUAGUUGAAAAACAAAAAGGGGUUCCGAAAGUACAAGUUGCUGUGACUGAAUCGAUGAUUGAGAGGGUCGUCUCGACGAAAGAUAUAGAAAUUUGGCCAUAGUUUAGAUUAGGAAUACGUCAAUGUAAUAAUAGUGGACUAAAUGUUUCGUCCGUGCAGAAUGGCACUUUUUACCUCACGAAAUUCACCACCAUGCAUAGCUGCGCUACGUAAACAAAGUUGUUGAUGUAGCGUGAUCGUGGUGUCCGAGUGCUGCGAGUUUCAAUACUGUUUAUGUAGUCAUUGAGAGUUUAAACAAAGUUUCUUCUGAGAAGAGGAAUUCGAUGGAUGCAUUCAACGUGGACAACGAAAUCAUAAUUUCGUUUGCAUCAUCCUAAGGACAAGUGCAAGUUGAAAUGGGCUUCCAGCCAACAACUUCAACAGCAAUUUGCCAUGAAAAUCAGCAAGAAAGGUACUUCAUUUACAUUGAUGAUGUCAUAUCCCCUGGACCCCACAACUUCACAGGUUACAGAGAAAAUUCAAGAACUUCUGCAAAAUGUGGGACUUGGAUAGAAUCAAUAAUGUAUUUGUGAGCCCAGAGCAAUGGAUAUAUUGUGCAACAUACUAAAGUGUGAAUUUAAUGGAAAACAAGUACAUGUACUCAUGUAUUACAUGUCUUUUUUAAAGACAAUAAUAUUGUAUAAAUAUAGAGGAAGUGUCAUUGUUGAUUAUUCUAAGUUUUUGAUAUAUCAAAAUCAGUAAACAUUUCUAAAUGAAAAUAAAAUACCAAUUUUAUAACUUUAAU